ACUGCAAUGCUGUCUCUGUGGCGCAAUCGGUUAGCGCGUUCGGCUGUUAACCGAAAGGAUUGAUGGCGUCCACAGCGACCACAGGCAGCAAGCGCGUCGGAACGACUCUGCUUCCUGCGCCGGUUUCCGCUGUUGACUAUUUGAGCGCUGGACCAGCACCGGAAAGCUUUGGAGGCCGGACCGCAGAGGUUGUCUGAAGGCCGAGGCCAAGAUGGCGGCGCUGGCGGCUCCUGGCCUGCUCUCUGUGCGGAUCCUGGGCCUUCGG
Molecule: long non-coding RNA, 265 nt
Organism: Acomys russatus (golden spiny mouse)
Lineage: Eukaryota; Metazoa; Chordata; Mammalia; Rodentia; Muridae
Exons: 3
Source: RefSeq, a predicted model, not a curated record